AGAGUUUGAUCCUGGCUCAGGACGAACGCUGGCGGCGGGCUUAACACAUGCAAGUCGAACGAGCAGUCUUGACUUCGGUCGAGGCGGGCGAGUGGCGAACGGGUGCGUAACACGUAGGUAACCUACCCUCAAGAGGGGAAUAACCACUGGAAACGGUGGCUAAUACCGCAUAUUGUCCUGAUUGCGCAUGCAAACAGGAUGAAAUACUCUGGUGCUUGAGGAUGGACCUGCGGCGGAUUAGGAAGUUGGUGAGGUAACGGCUCACCAAUCCUGCGAUCCGUAGCUGGUCUGAGAGGAUGAUCAGCCACACUGGCACUGAGACACGGGCCAGACUCCUACGGGAGGCAGCAGUGAGGAAUAUUGGGCAAUGGACGAAAGUCUGACCCAGCCACGCCGCGUGCAGGAUGACACCCCUACGGGGCGUAAACUGCUUUUAUGUGAGAAGAACCCCCUGGAUUCGUCCGGGGCUGACGGUAUCACACGAAUAAGGACCGGCUAACUCCGUGCCAGCAGCCGCGGUAAUACGGAGGGUCCAAGCGUUGUCCGGAUUUAUUGGGUGUAAAGGGUGUGUAGGCGGGCCAGUAAGUCUGAGGUGAAAUCCCACGGCUCAACCGUGGAACUGCCUUAGAUACUGUUGGUCUUGAGUCCUGGAGAGGUCAUCGGAAUUCGUGGUGUAGCGGUGAAAUGCGUAGAUAUCACGAGGAACACCUGUUGCGAAGGUUGGUGACUGGACAGGUACUGACGCUGAGGCACGAAAGCGUGGGGAGCAAACAGGAUUAGAUACCCUGGUAGUCCACGCCGUAAACGAUGGACACUCGGUGUCGCCGAAAUUGGUCGGCGGUGCCCAAGCGAACGCAUUAAGUGUCCCACCUGGGGAGUACGCUGGCAACGGUGAAACUCAAAGGAAUUGACGGGGGCCCGCACAAGCGGUGGAGCAUGUUGCUUAAUUCGAUGCAACGCGAGGAACCUUACCUGGGCUCGAACGCUACCGGACCGCUGCCGAAAGGUAGCUUCCCCUAACAGGGCUGGUAGUGAGGUGCUGCAUGGCUGUCGUCAGUUCGUGUCGUGAGAUGUUGGGUUAAGUCCCGCAACGAACGCAACCCCUGUCGUUAGUUACCAGCGGUUAAAGCCGGGGACUCUAGCGAGACUGCCUGCGCAAGCAGUGAGGAAGGUGGGGAUGACGUCAAGUCAUCAUGGCCCUUAUGCUCAGGGCUGCAAACGUGCUACAAUGGGUGAUACAACGGGUUGCCACUUCGUGAGAAGGCGCGAAUCCCAAAAGUCAUCCUCAGUUCGGAUCGGAGUCUGCAACUCGACUCCGUGAAGUCGGAAUCGCUAGUAAUCGCGUAUCAGCAACGACGCGGUGAAUACGUUCCCGGGCCUUGUACACACCGCCCGUCAAGCCAUGGAAGCCGGGGGCACCCGAAGUCCGUGACCCAACCUUAGGGAGGGAGCGGCCGAAGGUGAAUUCGGUAACUGGGGCUAAGUCGUAACAAGGUA
This 1497-nucleotide ribosomal RNA is filed under the name metagenome. Its description in RNAcentral is "bacterial SSU rRNA". It matches the Rfam family "Bacterial small subunit ribosomal RNA". The record is from RNAcentral.